Long non-coding RNA from Cyprinus carpio carpio, 2136 nucleotides. The record is from Ensembl. NCBI's taxonomy places the organism in Eukaryota, Metazoa, Chordata, Actinopteri, Cypriniformes, Cyprinidae.
CCACAUCAUCAAGUUUGCUGAUGACACGGCCGUGGUGGGUCUUAUAAGCAAAGGCGACGAAUCAGCGUACAGAGAGAAGGUGCUUCGGCUAGCGGAUUGGUGUCAACAACCUGUCCCUGAACGUGGACAAAACUAAAGAGAUGGUUGUUGAGUUUAGGAGAUCACAUACCAAUCACUCUCCACUGAACAUCGACGGCUCCUCUUUGGAGAUCGCAAAGAGCACCAAAUUCAUUGUUGUUCAUCUGACUUGAGAACUUCACCUGGUCUCUCAACACCAGCUCCAUAGCAAAGAAAGCUCAGCAGCCUCUUUACUUUUUAUGCAGACUGAAGAAAGCACAUCUCCCACCCCCCAUCCUCACCACAUUUUACAAAGGGACUGAGCACCUGCAUCACUACCUGGUUUGGGAAUUGCACCAUCACAGAUCGCAAGACCCUGCAGCGGAUCGUGAGGACAGCUGAAAAGAUCAUUGGAGUCUCUCUCCCCUCUAUCACAGACGUUUACACCACUCGCUGCAUUCCGAAAGCCAUCACGAUUACUAGCGACCCUACAAACCCCUCACACCAGCUCUUCACCCUUCUGCCAUCCAGAAGAAGCUACAGAAGCAUUCAGGCCCUCACGGUCAGAUAGUGUGACAGUUUCUUCCCUCGAGUCAUCAGACUCCUCAACUCCAUGAGAACUGACCUGACAACUACACUCACACAUGUACACCCCUACUAUAAAUACUUGAAUUACAAACACUUGGAACCCAACUGCAUACUUUGCAUGUCCGGACAUUUGCAUGAAUCUACCUCAAUAUUGUGCCUUGUCUAUUAAUAUUGUGACCUGUUCUAUGUAUAAAAAUAUGUAUAUGUUUAUAUAUGUAUAUAUACAUAUAUUGUAAUGUCCCAUUCAUGUUUCAUUCAGACAUGCAGACGCACUUUAUGUAGUCUGUACUUUGCUUUAUGUUCAACUUUUUUACUUUUACUUCUUCUUCUUCUUCUUCCAGUUUUAGUAUUAUGUUAGAUUAUUUAAGAUAAUUUAAUUAUGUAUAGUCCUUUGCAAAGUACAAUGUGAGUUUUGUAGUUAAUGUUGUCUUGUGUAGCACCAUGGUCCUGGAGAAACGCUGUUUCGUAGCUGUAUAGAGCUGAAAUGAUAAUAAAGCCUCUCUGACUUUGACUGACUUUUUUUUAUAAAUUGAGUUUUUCCUUCCGUUUUUAAAAAAAUUUCCGUCCACAUGAAAGUGCAAACGCAUGCUAUGAUGCACUGUAAAGAGCAGGUCAAACCAACAGGAGGUUUGUUCUUCAAAGAGCGUGAGGAAGAUGAAAAGAUCCACAUGAAAGGAUGAAGGUCCAUCUGAAAGACCUCUGCUGGCGCUGUGUGAAGGACGCAUGGAGGACCGGUGUGUGAAGUGACCGGGGCUGAAGAGAGACGUCCAGAUGACAGCAGCUGCUCUUCGGGAAUCUCAGCAGUUCUGCUGCGCAUCGAGCUGCACGUCUCUACAUCCUCCUCCACGGAUUUCACUACUCCAUCCACCCACCAUCCAUCCAUUUUUGACUGGGCCCAGGAGGAUUAUGCUGUUCUUCACAGGACGAGAUCUCAGAGCGUGGGCAGGAGAGUCAGCAGCGAGCCCCUAAUGACACAGCGACACCCACACACGUCCAAAACCAAUUUUACCCUCACUAAAAGAACAGCCCUCGCACGUUCCCAUGCAUACAAAUGGCUGAUCGAUGGCGGUCAGCGACUCUCGGCCCUCUGAGAUAUAGUGAGCUCCAGAUCGAUGCCAAUGACAGGUGUUAGAACCACAGACCCCUCCAACAACAAUCCCUGGAAAUGUUGGUUUCCACUCGUCUCUCGUAAUCUCAUUAGGGACAUGAAUGGCUCCCUUUUGAAAGGCGCUGAUGCCGGAGAAGAGGAGGGCGGCAUGGAGAAUGAGUAUUGAAUUUGAGUAAUCCGGGAUGGAGGGCAGCGUUCCAUCUCUUGUGCUGGAGCUGCAGAUAAGGCGUCGUCUAUUGAGGGCUCGUCAGCGCUCACACUCAGAAGGUGUCUUGCAGAGGAAGAGUGAUAAGAAGUUCGCCCUGAGCACAUCGGGCCUUCGGUAUCUGGUGGUAAUUGUGCUGCGGAUCCGUCUCAGAAAGUUUCACACAGAGUUGAGCAGC